AAAUUGAAGAGUUUGAUCAUGGCUCAGAUUGAACGCUGGCGGCAGGCCUAACACAUGCAAGUCGAACGGUAGCACAGAGAGCUUGCUCUCGGGUGACGAGUGGCGGACGGGUGAGUAAUGUCUGGGAAACUGCCUGAUGGAGGGGGAUAACUACUGGAAACGGUAGCUAAUACCGCAUAACGUCGCAAGACCAAAGAGGGGGACCUUCGGGCCUCUUGCCAUCAGAUGUGCCCAGAUGGGAUUAGCUAGUAGGUGGGGUAACGGCUCACCUAGGCGACGAUCCCUAGCUGGUCUGAGAGGAUGACCAGCCACACUGGAACUGAGACACGGUCCAGACUCCUACGGGAGGCAGCAGUGGGGAAUAUUGCACAAUGGGCGCAAGCCUGAUGCAGCCAUGCCGCGUGUAUGAAGAAGGCCUUCGGGUUGUAAAGUACUUUCAGCGGGGAGGAAGGUGUUGUGGUUAAUAACCGCAGCAAUUGACGUUACCCGCAGAAGAAGCACCGGCUAACUCCGUGCCAGCAGCCGCGGUAAUACGGAGGGUGCAAGCGUUAAUCGGAAUUACUGGGCGUAAAGCGCACGCAGGCGGUCUGUCAAGUCGGAUGUGAAAUCCCCGGGCUCAACCUGGGAACUGCAUUCGAAACUGGCAGGCUAGAGUCUUGUAGAGGGGGUAGAAUUCCAGGUGUAGCGGUGAAAUGCGUAGAGAUCUGGAGGAAUACCGGUGGCGAAGGCGGCCCCCUGGACAAAGACUGACGCUCAGGUGCGAAAGCGUGGGGAGCAAACAGGAUUAGAUACCCUGGUAGUCCACGCCGUAAACGAUGUCGACUUGGAGGUUGUGCCCUUGAGGCGUGGCUUCCGGAGCUAACGCGUUAAGUCGACCGCCUGGGGAGUACGGCCGCAAGGUUAAAACUCAAAUGAAUUGACGGGGGCCCGCACAAGCGGUGGAGCAUGUGGUUUAAUUCGAUGCAACGCGAAGAACCUUACCUACUCUUGACAUCCAGAGAACUUUCCAGAGAUGGAUUGGUGCCUUCGGGAACUCUGAGACAGGUGCUGCAUGGCUGUCGUCAGCUCGUGUUGUGAAAUGUUGGGUUAAGUCCCGCAACGAGCGCAACCCUUAUCCUUUGUUGCCAGCGGUCCGGCCGGGAACUCAAAGGAGACUGCCAGUGAUAAACUGGAGGAAGGUGGGGAUGACGUCAAGUCAUCAUGGCCCUUACGAGUAGGGCUACACACGUGCUACAAUGGCGCAUACAAAGAGAAGCGAACUCGCGAGAGCAAGCGGACCUCAUAAAGUGCGUCGUAGUCCGGAUUGGAGUCUGCAACUCGACUCCAUGAAGUCGGAAUCGCUAGUAAUCGUAGAUCAGAAUGCUACGGUGAAUACGUUCCCGGGCCUUGUACACACCGCCCGUCACACCAUGGGAGUGGGUUGCAAAAGAAGUAGGUAGCUUAACCUUCGGGAGGGCGCUUACCACUUUGUGAUUCAUGACUGGGGUGAAGUCGUAACAAGGUAACCGUAGGGGAACCUGCGGUUGGAUCACCUCCUUA
Molecule: ribosomal RNA, 1539 nt
Filed under: Enterobacter ludwigii
Lineage: Bacteria; Pseudomonadati; Pseudomonadota; Gammaproteobacteria; Enterobacterales; Enterobacteriaceae
Also listed under: 1 other name
Description: bacterial SSU rRNA
Rfam family: Bacterial small subunit ribosomal RNA
Source: RNAcentral